Molecule: transfer RNA, 57 nt
Filed under: Pelodiscus sinensis (Chinese soft-shelled turtle)
Lineage: Eukaryota; Metazoa; Chordata; Testudines; Trionychidae
Source: Rfam by way of RNAcentral
GGUUCUAUAGCCUAAGGGUUAGGGCAGCUACCUGAGAAGUGGGAGACCCUAGAACCA